GCCUUCGUGGUGUAGUGAUCAGCACGCUCGACGCGUAACCGAGAGGUCCGUGGUUCGAUUCCCGGCGAAGGCU
Molecule: transfer RNA, 73 nt
Filed under: Stegodyphus mimosarum
Lineage: Eukaryota; Metazoa; Arthropoda; Arachnida; Araneae; Eresidae
Rfam family: tRNA
About the family: Transfer RNA (tRNA) molecules are approximately 80 nucleotides in length.
Source: Rfam by way of RNAcentral